Molecule: long non-coding RNA, 912 nt
Organism: Actinia tenebrosa (Australian red waratah sea anemone)
Lineage: Eukaryota; Metazoa; Cnidaria; Anthozoa; Actiniaria; Actiniidae
Source: RefSeq, a predicted model, not a curated record
CGCCAACGCGUCUGACAAACUCCAUACGGCAACUUAACCCUACAACAUACAAAAUGGCGAACCACAGGAAUACCAACACUCAACAAAACCCACAUAGCUUCCUGCUGKAUUCAACAAUAACUACAAGUCUUUGGGCACCCUCCAACUCGCUCCUCGCCCGAAGGCCACAAGUUCACUGGCCUCUCAAACUCCCUGUGAGGGUGCCCAAACACCCAUCAAGCCACCAGGUCUGGCCCCACAUGGUAGCAACCAAUUUUCGACUCACUAAAACUCCCUAUUUCUCCCUAUUCAUGGCCAAAAAAAACAACCCCAUUGCUGACCAUGAGUGCCCCUCUACACACUUCUUCGUGCAGAGAACCAUUGCUGCCUUCAUUAGGCUUAACGAUGCCUUCGGGCACCUCGUGGCUGAUCUCUUCCCUUCCCUUUCUUAUGGCGACGAGCGACUGAACUAACGAGCGAACGCACGAGCUAGAUACCAACCCUCUCAUUACAUGCGCACCCUAUGCUAAUUAUCUCUUCCACACUACUCUAUCGUAUACGCCAUUUGGGUUAGCACACUUCCACUUCCACUUCCAACCAACCUGCUGCUUACUUCCUUCCAAUACACACUGCUCUCCAGCCCAGAUUGCCUUGAUGCUCUUUGGUUAGGAGAGGAAAAGGACAAGGGUCUAAAGAGGUCAUCUUCUCUUGUUCUACUUGCAUGUUGAUCUCUUUCAAGUUUUUCCAGCAGUUCUUUUCCUGAGUGUAGCCUAAUAAAACAAACAAUGUGUAAGAUAUGUUCCAUCGAGCUGCUCUAAAAAUUGUGACACCGAGUCUUCAGUAUUUUCUGUUUGCAUGACGUUACUGGUUGUAGUUCCGGGUUGACUGUCCUUAACAUCACUGUUUUCUGAUACAAGAUCAUGCUUCUCUUGC